Molecule: long non-coding RNA, 734 nt
Organism: Peromyscus leucopus (white-footed mouse)
Lineage: Eukaryota; Metazoa; Chordata; Mammalia; Rodentia; Cricetidae
Exons: 3
Source: RefSeq, a predicted model, not a curated record
CCUGUCCAAAUUGUCAAGUUCAGAGGGAGGCUAGGCGGGAGGCUAGUUUUGGCUUCAGGCCGCUAUUUAUAUGUUAGGAAUUUUUUAGAAUGAGUCAACAUUAAUGUAUUACUGAAUAAACUUAAGGUGCUUCAGCCUUUUAUGGAAGCUCCACCAAGAACUCUCCCUGAUCCUACCCUUCUUGCACCUCCCAGAGCUGGGAGCUGCUUCCCGAUCCCAGCCACUCUCGGAAAGUGGCAGAAGUUAGCCAGCCCUCAGCUGGACAGCGUUGGAUCACAGACACUAGCUGAGCAGUUUCCAGAGCUCAAAAGUGGGGAUGACGAAUGUCCGGGUCACAGGCUAGUUUGAAGCCAGUGGCAGCAAGAAACAGACUAGGCACCAAGAGGAACUUCUGAAGUGUGGCAGGCGAGGGGAGUCCAGCAGCGCAGGGAAAGUGUUCUCUCUCCACCAGAGGCGAAGAUGGCACAGAGAACAUCUGGUCCCCAGAGGUGCUUGCUACAUUUUGAGCCACAGCCCAACGGGAGCAAGAGAAGGCAGAAGUUGUAUUUUUCCAGCUCAAGUUUGGUGUGCUUAGCAAGAGGCCCCAAAAAUUUACAACCUGCCGGCAAGCAGCGGUUUGAUUCUCCGACCCAGCAGGUUCCUGCUCGACAGCGUUGGGACCAGGAGCGGCUGAUGAGAAAUAAAUGAGGCAGGUGCCCAAGCGGCUUCUUUGCCAAUAAAAGAAAACAACAGUC